RNAcentral lists this small RNA (64 nucleotides) under Salix viminalis (osier). The record is from RNAcentral. Lineage: Eukaryota; Viridiplantae; Streptophyta; Magnoliopsida; Malpighiales; Salicaceae.
AGAGCAUUGAUCAAUUCUUGGAGACUCAAUUAUGUGAAGUCUUUUGAAUCUUCUAAAGAACAUA